CGUCGACCUGGUCGGCAUGAUCGACGGCGCUGUAAUCGUCGCCCUCGGCGCCGGACUCGGCCGGCUCGGGUCCGGCCUCGGCGGC
RNAcentral lists this transfer RNA (85 nucleotides) under Allgaiera indica. RNAcentral describes it as "tRNA-Tyr". The record is from RNAcentral. Lineage: Bacteria; Pseudomonadati; Pseudomonadota; Alphaproteobacteria; Rhodobacterales; Paracoccaceae.